This 791-nucleotide ribosomal RNA is filed under the name Bacillus amyloliquefaciens. RNAcentral describes it as "bacterial SSU rRNA". It matches the Rfam family "Bacterial small subunit ribosomal RNA", at positions 52 to 826 of the family's 1533-position model. The record is from RNAcentral. Lineage: Bacteria; Bacillati; Bacillota; Bacilli; Caryophanales; Bacillaceae.
UACAUGCAGUCGAGCGGACAGAUGGGAGCUUGCUCCCUGAUGUUAGCGGCGGACGGGUGAGUAACACGUGGGUAACCUGCCUGUAAGACUGGGAUAACUCCGGGAAACCGGGGCUAAUACCGGAUGCUUGUUUGAACCGCAUGGUUCAGACAUAAAAGGUGGCUUCGGCUACCACUUACAGAUGGACCCGCGGCGCAUUAGCUAGUUGGUGAGGUAACGGCUCACCAAGGCAACGAUGCGUAGCCGACCUGAGAGGGUGAUCGGCCACACUGGGACUGAGACACGGCCCAGACUCCUACGGGAGGCAGCAGUAGGGAAUCUUCCGCAAUGGACGAAAGUCUGACGGAGCAACGCCGCGUGAGUGAUGAAGGUUUUCGGAUCGUAAAGCUCUGUUGUUAGGGAAGAACAAGUGCCGUUCAAAUAGGGCGGCACCUUGACGGUACCGGGCCAGAAAGCCACGGCUAACUACGUGCCAGCAGCCGCGGUAAUACGUAGGUGGCAAGCGUUGUCCGGAAUUAUUGGGCGUAAAGGGCUCGCAGGCGGUUUCUUAAGUCUGAUGUGAAAGCCCCCGGCUCAACCGGGGAGGGUCAUUGGAAACUGGGGAACUUGAGUGCAGAAGAGGAGAGUGGAAUUCCACGUGUAGCGGUGAAAUGCGUAGAGAUGUGGAGGAACACCAGUGGCGAAGGCGACUCUCUGGUCUGUAACUGACGCUGAGGAGCGAAAGCGUGGGGAGCGAACAGGAUUAGAUACCCUGGUAGUCCACGCCGUAAACGAUGAGUGCUAAGUGUUAG